AAAAGAGCAUAGCCAACUGAAUAACAGCACAGCAUUUUACAUAAAGGAUGUGUUGCUACCAUCUAGUGGUAGUGUAGUGCUAUAUAAAUAAAGUUGCCUAGUGUCAAAAUAAAUGUUUGUGGCCAUUAAUUCUAUAGAGAUCAAAAAACUGUUGGGAUAUAUUUUGAAUAACAAAUGGAUGUCAAUAAGAAUGUCAAUUGCAAAGUAACAAAGGAGUAGGGUUAAGGAGUAGGUGCUGUUAAAGGCCCACUAUGCAACUUUUUUAGCCAAAAUUACAUUAAGUAUGCAGGUUGAGAGUUAUGCUGAUGGUUCUGCAUCCAUUUCUGGGUUGAUUGGUGGGUGUGUCAUUUCCCCAUGUCGCCUCUCCAGUGAAAAAGCGCAUAUGCAACUUGAUCUGUUCGGACCGACACAAUCCGGAUGUGACGCAGCGGAAGUAUCCUCGAAAAUGUAGUCAGAUUGUAGUUUCGAAAAUGCUUUACGGCACAGACACACACCCAAACAUGGCACCGGCUAGAUAUAAACAGCCAGUUGCGAGGCAAUUGUUGUCCGAGAUCAGCCGACUAAAAAGAGACAGAGAAACCCAAUGUCGGAGGAACAGAAGAAGAGAAAAGGGAGACAGACCGACAGAGAGGCCAGACACGAGUAAACGUUGGGCAAGCUUUUCAGGAAUAGCGUGAACUGAAAGAAAAAGAAGACUGCAAAUCAGACGCCGACUCGGCCGUGUUGCUUUUGAAAUUGAAAGUACCCUUGGGUGAACUUUGUCUGCGUAAUAUUCUUGAUUCUGAUAGUCUCUGUACACAUGUGUUUGCUCAACCAUUUUUUUGAGCCCUGUAAAAAUUGUUUUCUCGACCGUUUUGUUGUGAGCCCUGUUUGUUUCUAGCUUGCUUGGUUGCAACCAUAUAAACACCUUUGUUUCCAUGGGUGUGUUGCUGUUCGUCUGUCUCGUCCCCCAGAUACAGACUGAAUCCCCGAAUCCAGGUUCUUGUUUAUUUCGAUUAUUAUGUUGGCCAAACCUCUUACACUGAUUGUUCUGUUCAACCUAAGAUAAAAUAAUUAUAACCUAGGGUAUAAAUUCUCCCCGUCAACUAUAAAAAAUGAUGGAUUUAUGUUUAUUGCAAUGCAAAUACACCAUUUUAAAAAUGUAUAACCUUGCCUACACUUUAUGAACAUCUAUUUUGGACAUGGCUCCGCGCAUUCGCCGGCUUCUUUGAAAACAAAUGCACAUGGCUCGCGUAGAAGAGCAUGGGGAAGGGACGUCAACGAGUUGUUACGACAGUGUUGUGAAAUAUCUACUACGAAGCUUUAGGGGGCGCUGUGUAGAGAAAUGUGCGUGCCAAAACCAAGAAAACAGCGAAGACAUGCCCGAAGUUGCAUAGUGGGCCUUUAAGGAGUAGGGUGCGCCGAGAGGAUGGUCGCACUGACAAUGGCUCCGCAUGCACUACAAAAAAAAAAAAAAAAAAAAAGCUACAGAGAUAUAGGAUGUUUUUUAAUUUGUUGUAUGUUAAUGUUACAUUUUAUAUGGUUUAUUGUCAUAUUGUUUUAGAGUUUUAUGUUAUUUUUGUUAUAUGUAUGACGUCUACUGCGUAGAUGAAUGAUGCUUGCCAAGUCGUAAGAAUUUUGCUGUGCUGAAGCAAUUUGGUACAUGCAACAAUAAACACACUUUGACUUUGACUUUGACUUGACUUUGACAAUGGAGGUUAAACAAAUUGCCUAUAUUAAAAAUCCUUUAUUACAACAUUAAUGCAGUCCAGCUCCACCACCGAAUG
Gadus morhua (Atlantic cod) is the source of this 1766-nucleotide long non-coding RNA. The record is from Ensembl. NCBI's taxonomy places the organism in Eukaryota, Metazoa, Chordata, Actinopteri, Gadiformes, Gadidae.